CCUUCGGGUUGUAAACCUCUUUCAGUAGGGAAGAAGCGUAAGUGACGGUACCUGCAGAAGAAGCGCCGGCUAACUACGUGCCAGCAGCCGCGGUAAUACGUAGGGCGCAAGCGUUAUCCGGAAUUAUUGGGCGUAAAGAGCUCGUAGGCGGUUUGUCGCGUCUGCCGUGAAAGUCCGGGGCUUAACUCCGGAUCUGCGGUGGGUACGGGCAGACUUGAGUGAUGUAGGGGAGACUGGAAUUCCUGGUGUAGCGGUGAAAUGCGCAGAUAUCAGGAGGAACACCGAUGGCGAAGGCAGGUCUCUGGGCAUUAACUGACGCUGAGGAGCGAAAGCAUGGGGAGCGAACAGGAUUAGAUACCCUGGUAGUCCAUGCCGUAAACGUUGGGCACUAGGUGUGGGGGACAUUCCACGUUUUCCGCGCCGUAGCUAACGCAUUAAGUGCCCCGCCUGGGGAGUACGGCCGCAAGGCUAAAACUCAAAGGAAUUGACGGGGGCCCGCACAAGCGGCGGAGCAUGCGGAUUAAUUCGAUGCAACGCGAAGAACCUUACCAAGGCUUGACAUGAACCGGAACGGCGCAGAGAUGUGUCGGCCACUUGUGGCCGGUUUACAGGUGGUGCAUGGUUGUCGUCAGCUCGUGUCGUGAGAUGUUGGGUUAAGUCCCGCAACGAGCGCAACCCUCGUUCCAUGUUGCCAGCGGGUUAUGCCGGGGACUCAUGGGAGACUGCCGGGGUCAACUCGGAGGAAGGUGGGGACGACGUCAAAUCAUCAUGCCCCUUAUGUCUUGGGCUUCACGCAUGCUACAAUGGCCGGUACAAAGGGUUGCGAUGCUGUGAGGUGGAGCUAAUCCCAAAAAGCCGGUCUCAGUUCGGAUUGAGGUCUGCAACUCGACCUCAUGAAGUCGGAGUCGCUAGUAAUCGCAGAUCAGCAACGCUGCGGUGAAUACGUUCCCGGGCCUUGUACACACCGCCCGUCAAGUCACGAAAGUUGGUAACACCCGAAGCCGGUGGCCUAACCCGAAAGGGG
RNAcentral lists this ribosomal RNA (1024 nucleotides) under Arthrobacter tumbae. RNAcentral's name for it is "bacterial SSU rRNA". It matches the Rfam family "Bacterial small subunit ribosomal RNA", at positions 415 to 1448 of the family's 1533-position model. Lineage: Bacteria; Bacillati; Actinomycetota; Actinomycetes; Micrococcales; Micrococcaceae. The record is from RNAcentral.